UAACCUGCCCAAGAGAUCGGGAUAACACCUGGAAACAGAUGCUAAUACCGGAUAACAACAGAUGAUGCCUAUCAACUGUUUAAAAGAUGGUUCUGCUAUCACUCUUGGAUGGACCUGCGGUGCAUUAGCUAGUUGGUAGGGUAACGGCCUACCAAGGCGAUGAUGCAUAGCCGAGUUGAGAGACUGAUCGGCCACAUUGGGACUGAGACACGGCCCAAACUCCUACGGGAGGGCAGCAGUAU
Molecule: ribosomal RNA, 242 nt
Filed under: uncultured Lactobacillus sp.
Lineage: Bacteria; Bacillati; Bacillota; Bacilli; Lactobacillales; Lactobacillaceae
Description: partial 16S ribosomal RNA
Rfam family: Bacterial small subunit ribosomal RNA
Source: RNAcentral